UACGUAGGGUGCGAGCGUUGUCCGGAAUUACUGGGCGUAAAGAGCUCGUAGGUGGUUUGUCGCGUUGUCCGUGAAAACUCACAACUCAAUUGUGGGCGUGCGGGCGAUACGGGCGAACUGGAGGCCAGUAGGGGGAUGCGGAAUUCCGGGUGUAGUGGUGGAAUGCGUAGAGAUCCGGAGGAACACCAGCGGCGAAGGCGGCAUCCUGGACUGGUCCUGACACUCAGGAGCGAAAGCGUGGGGAGCGAUCCGG
This 253-nucleotide ribosomal RNA is filed under the name uncultured bacterium. RNAcentral describes it as "partial 16S ribosomal RNA". It matches the Rfam family "Bacterial small subunit ribosomal RNA", at positions 524 to 776 of the family's 1533-position model. The record is from RNAcentral.